This 501-nucleotide ribosomal RNA is filed under the name uncultured Desulfobulbus sp. RNAcentral describes it as "bacterial SSU rRNA". It matches the Rfam family "Bacterial small subunit ribosomal RNA", at positions 903 to 1382 of the family's 1533-position model. The record is from RNAcentral. Lineage: Bacteria; Pseudomonadati; Thermodesulfobacteriota; Desulfobulbia; Desulfobulbales; Desulfobulbaceae.
GCCCGCUCAAGAAACUUAAAUAGAAUUGACGGGGCCCGCACAAGCGGUGGAGUAUGUGGUUUAAUUCGAUGCAACGCGAAGAACCUUACCUGGUCUUGACAUCCCGGAGACCCUUAGGAAACUAGGGGUGCUUCCAUCUGGAAGAAUCUGGAGACAGGUGCUGCAUGGCUGUCGUCAGCUCGUGUCGUGAGAUGUUGGGUUAAGUCCCGCAACGAGCGCAACCCUUGCCUUUAGUUGCCAGCAGUUCGGCUGGGCACUCUAAAGGGACUGCCGGUGUUAAACCGGAGGAAGGUGGGGAUGACGUCAAGUCCUCAUGGCCUUUAUGACCAGGGCUACACACGUACUACAAUGGCCGAUACAAAGGGCAGCGACACUGCGAGGUGAAGCCAAUCCCGUAAAAUCGGUCUCAGUCCGGAUUGGAGUCUGCAACUCGACUCCAUGAAGUUGGAAUCGCUAGUAAUCGUGGAUCAGCAUGCCACGGUGAAUACGUUCCCGGGCCUU